Sinocyclocheilus anshuiensis is the source of this 254-nucleotide long non-coding RNA. RefSeq lists it as uncharacterized. NCBI's taxonomy places the organism in Eukaryota, Metazoa, Chordata, Actinopteri, Cypriniformes, Cyprinidae. The record is from RefSeq and is a predicted model, not a curated record. The transcript is spliced from 5 exons.
CCAUCCCUUCCUUCCUCUCUCUAGGGCUUGCCUGGGUUCCCAGGAGUGCUGGGCAGACCAGGGAAUCCAGGAGAACCAGGAAUAAGAGGACCAACUGGACCGAUGGGUGGAAGUGGACCCCCAGGGGCUCCUGGUGUGAAGGGUGACCAAGGAGAACCAGGCAUUGGAGUUCAAGGUCCUCCUGGACCUCAGGGCAACAGAGGGUUACCUGGACCUCUAGGCACUCCAGGAGCAAUAGUAAGAUAAAAACGCAA